This 468-nucleotide ribosomal RNA is filed under the name uncultured bacterium. RNAcentral describes it as "partial 16S ribosomal RNA". It matches the Rfam family "Bacterial small subunit ribosomal RNA", at positions 28 to 507 of the family's 1533-position model. The record is from RNAcentral.
GACGAACGCUGGCGGCGUGCUUAACACAUGCAAGUCGAACGGAAAGGCCCUGCUUUUGUGGGGUGCUCGAGUGGCGAACGGGUGAGUAACACGUGAGUAACCUGCCCUUGACUUUGGGAUAACUUCAGGAAACUGGGGCUAAUACCGGAUAGGAGCUCCUGCUGCAUGGUGGGGGUUGGAAAGUUUCGGCGGUUGGGGAUGGACGCGCGGCUUAUCAGCUUGUUGGUGGGGUAGUGGCUUACCAAGGCUUUGACGGGUAGCCGGCCUGAGAGGGUGACCGGCGACAUUGGGACUGAGGUACGGCCCAGACUCCUACGGGAGGCAGCAGUGGGGAGUAUUGCACAGUGGGCGGAAGCCUGAUGCAGCAACGCCGCGUGCGGGAUGACGGCCUUCGGGUUGUAAACCGCUUUCGCCUGUGACGAAGCGUGAGUGACGGUAAUGGGUAAAGAAGCACCGGCUAACUACGUG